RNAcentral lists this ribosomal RNA (293 nucleotides) under uncultured bacterium. RNAcentral's name for it is "partial 16S ribosomal RNA". It matches the Rfam family "Bacterial small subunit ribosomal RNA", at positions 333 to 643 of the family's 1533-position model. The record is from RNAcentral.
UGGACCCUACGGGACGCAGCAGUGGGGAAUAUUGCACAAUGGGGGGAACCCUGAUGCAGCGACGCCGCGUGAAGGAUGAAGUAUUUCGGUACGUAAACUUCUAUCAGCAGGGAAGAAAAUGACGGUACCUGACUAAGAAGCCCCGGCUAACUACGUGCCAGCAGCCGCGGUAAUACGUAGGGGGCAAGCGUUAUCCGGAUUUACUGGGUGUAAAGGGAGCGUAGACGGGCCAGCAAGCCUGAUGUGACAACCCGGGGCCCAACCCCGGGAGUGCAUUGGAAACUGCGGGCCUG